Molecule: ribosomal RNA, 253 nt
Filed under: uncultured bacterium
Lineage: Bacteria
Description: partial 16S ribosomal RNA
Rfam family: Bacterial small subunit ribosomal RNA
Source: RNAcentral
UACGAGAGGCCCAAACGUUAUUCGGAAUUACUGGGCUUAAAGAGUUCGUAGGCGGCGCAGAAAGUAGGGUGUGAAAGCCCUCGGCUUAACCGAGGAAUUGCGCCCUAAACUACUGUGCUUGAGGAACCUAGAGGUGAGCAGAACAGAUGGUGGAGCGGUGAAAUGCGUUGAUAUCAUCUGGAAUACCGGAAGCGAAGGCGGCUCACUGGGGGUUUUCUGACGCUGAGGAACGAAAGCCAGGGUAGCGAACGGG